RNAcentral lists this ribosomal RNA (491 nucleotides) under uncultured bacterium. RNAcentral's name for it is "bacterial SSU rRNA". It matches the Rfam family "Bacterial small subunit ribosomal RNA", at positions 28 to 526 of the family's 1533-position model. The record is from RNAcentral.
GACGAACGCUGGCGGCGUGCUUAACACAUGCAAGUCGAACGCUGAAGCCUGCAGCUUGCUGUGGGUGGAUGAGUGGCGAACGGGUGAGUAACACGUGAGUAACCUGCCCCUGACUCUGGGAUAAGCCUGGGAAACUGGGUCUAAUACCGGAUAUGACCAUUCUCCGCAUGGAGUGGUGGUGGAAAGUUUUUCGGUUGGGGAUGGGCUCGCGGCCUAUCAGCUUGUUGGUGGGGUGAUGGCCUACCAAGGCGACGACGGGUAGCCGGCCUGAGAGGGCGACCGGCCACACUGGGACUGAGACACGGCCCAGACUCCUACGGGAGGCAGCAGUGGGGAAUAUUGCACAAUGGGGGAAACCCUGAUGCAGCGACGCCGCGUGGGGGAUGACGGCCUUCGGGUUGUAAACCUCUUUCAGUGGGGAAGAAGCCUUCGGGUGACGGUACCUGCAGAAGAAGUACCGGCUAACUACGUGCCAGCCGCCGCCGUAACAC